RNAcentral lists this long non-coding RNA (1203 nucleotides) under Nothobranchius furzeri (turquoise killifish). RNAcentral's name for it is "lncRNA (ENSNFUG00015024341.1)". The record is from RNAcentral. Lineage: Eukaryota; Metazoa; Chordata; Actinopteri; Cyprinodontiformes; Nothobranchiidae.
AUGAAAAAAAUAGCCUUCAAGGAGGGAGACAGGGAAUUAUUGAGUAUACAGAAGCAACUGAAUAUCAAGAUCAGAGACAGCAAGGAGGCAUACAGGAAGAAGCUGGAGAACAAACUACAGAGGAACAAUAUCAGAGAUGUCUGGUCAGGGAUGAAGAAGAUCACAGGCUUCAAGCAGAGGAAGGAUUGCACAGAUGGCAGCCUGGACACAGCCAAUGAACUGAACAAGUUCUUCAAUAGGUUCAGUUCAGGAACAAACCCAGCAUCCUCCUCGCCUGUCCCCAGCCAAUCAGACAUCCCAUCCUCCUCUGAUCCAACAUUUUCCUGUCACACGCCAGCUCUUUUGUCCUCUAACGCAGUCAUGGACUCUUCUGGUUCUAUAAAUCUGUCUUCAACCAAGUCAGGAGAUGCUGCUGCCCCAUUUACCUCCCUCUCCCACCUAUCUGUCUCUAGAAGUCAGGUGAAGAGGCAGCUGGAGAGACUGAACAGGAACAAGGCUGCAGGUCCAGAUGGUGUCAGCCCCAGAGUACUGAAGGCCUGUGCAGAGCAGCUCUGUGGGAUUCUGCAGCACCUCUUCAACCUCAGCCUGGCCCAGGAGAAGGUUCCAGUCCUGUGGAAGACAUCCUGCCUUGUUCCAGUUCCAAAGAAAACUCGCCCAUCAGUCAAUGACGACUACAGACCGGUUGCCCUGACAUCCCACAUCAUGAAGGUCCUGGAGAGACUCCUGUUGGUCCACCUGAAUAAGCAAACUAGAACAUAUCAGGACCCGCUGCAGUUUGCUUAUCGCCAUGGAGUUGGAGUUGAAGAUGCCAUCAUCCAGCUGCUUCAACCAAUCCACUGUCAUCUGGACAAAGCAGGCAGCACUGUCAGGGUCAUGUUCUUUGAUUUCUCCAGUGCAUUUAACACAAUUGAGCCUGAUGUACUUUGCCAGAAACUCCAGAAGACACAGGUGGGGGCCUCAACUAUCGCCUGGAUUAAAGACUACCUGACAAACAGACCACAGUUUGUGAGGCUGAAGAACUGCACAUCAAACCAGGCAAUCAGUAACAUUGGAACACCACAGGGGACUGUACUCUCACAAUUCCUUUUCACCUUGUACACCUCAGGCUUCCAGUACAAAUCAGAGACCUGUCAUCUACAGAAAUACUCAGAUUACUCUGCAGUUGUCGGGUGUAUCAGAGAUGGACAGGAAACAAUCAUCUGA